Long non-coding RNA from Vigna unguiculata (cowpea), 301 nucleotides. Lineage: Eukaryota; Viridiplantae; Streptophyta; Magnoliopsida; Fabales; Fabaceae. The record is from RefSeq and is a predicted model, not a curated record.
AAAAGCUUGUGGUUGUCAUUACUCAAGCAAAAAUCAAACCAGCUGCAGGUGAAUGGCCAGUUUCUGUUUCUAAUACGUGGAAUGGUACAAAGUUGAUAAUGGAAAGUGAUUUUCCUCAAAUAGUUGAUUUUAAGAAACGAAUGAAGGAAAUUGAUCCAGAUGAAUUAAUAUUGAGUCAGUGUGCAAGUCAAUUGACUCAGUCUUCCCAAUAUACUGAUGCUGAACGUUUUGUAUAUAAAUGUUUAGUAAAAAGUUUGUCUGAAAUCCCAUUAAUGAAGAAGGUAUAGGCUCCAGGUCCAGG